Molecule: ribosomal RNA, 497 nt
Filed under: Pyrenophora tritici-repentis
Lineage: Eukaryota; Fungi; Ascomycota; Dothideomycetes; Pleosporales; Pleosporaceae
Description: eukaryotic LSU rRNA
Rfam family: 5.8S ribosomal RNA (bases 184-337)
Source: RNAcentral
CAUUACACAAAUAUGAAGCCGGACUGGGAUAGGGCCUCGCUGCCUUGCCCGUCUGGCGCCAUAUUCACCCAUGUCUUUUUGCGUACUACUUGUUUCCUUGGCGGGUCCGCCCGCCAAUUGGACCUUAUUCAAACCUUUUUUUCAGUUGCAAUCAGCGUCAGCAAAACAAAUGUAAUCAAUUACAACUUUCAACAACGGAUCUCUUGGUUCUGGCAUCGAUGAAGAACGCAGCGAAAUGCGAUAAGUAGUGUGAAUUGCAGAAUUCAGUGAAUCAUCGAAUCUUUGAACGCACAUUGCGCCCUUUGGUAUUCCAAAGGGCAUGCCUGUUCGAGCGUCAUUUGUACCCUCAAGCUUUGCUUGGUGUUGGGCGUCUUGUCUCUCUCCCGAGACUCGCCUUAAAAUCAUUGGCAGCCGGCCUACUGGUUUCGGAGCGCAGCACAUUAUUUGCGCUCUUGUCCAGCCGCGGUCGCGCGUCCAUGAAGCUUCUUUCAACCUUU